This is a non-coding RNA of Pelobates cultripes (western spadefoot toad), 106 nucleotides long. The record is from the annotation of a GenBank genome assembly. Lineage: Eukaryota; Metazoa; Chordata; Amphibia; Anura; Pelobatidae.
UUGCUUCAGCAGCACGCAUACUGGAACUGGGACAAUACAGAGAAGAUUAGCAUUGUGGUCCAUUCGCAAUGAUAACACACAAAUUCGUAAAACAUUCCAUAUUAGC